Molecule: unclassified non-coding RNA, 215 nt
Filed under: Phaeosphaeria podocarpi
Lineage: Eukaryota; Fungi; Ascomycota; Dothideomycetes; Pleosporales; Phaeosphaeriaceae
Description: partial internal transcribed spacer region
Rfam family: Eukaryotic small subunit ribosomal RNA (bases 1-46)
Source: RNAcentral
AAGUCGUAACAAGGUUUCCGUAGGUGAACCUGUGGAAGGAUCAUUACAUUCAGUAGCCUAGCUACUUGUUUAUACCCUUGUUUUUUGCGUACCUAUUGUUUCCUCGGCGGGCUUGCUCGCCGGUUGGACAAAAAUUACAACCUUUUUAAAUCUUCAAUCAGCGUCUGAAUUAUACAUAAUAAUUACAACUUUCAACAACGGAUCUCUUGGUUCUG